GCCCCGGUAGUGUAGCUCGGCCCAGCAUCUCGGACUUUCGAUCCGACGACCCGGGUUCAAAUCCCGGCCGGGGCACCA
This 78-nucleotide transfer RNA is filed under the name Candidatus Thorarchaeota archaeon. RNAcentral's name for it is "tRNA-Glu". It matches the Rfam family "tRNA". From Rfam's summary of the family: Transfer RNA (tRNA) molecules are approximately 80 nucleotides in length. Their secondary structure includes four short double-helical elements and three loops (D, anti-codon, and T loops). The record is from RNAcentral. Lineage: Archaea; Promethearchaeati; Candidatus Thorarchaeota.